RNAcentral lists this ribosomal RNA (265 nucleotides) under uncultured bacterium. RNAcentral's name for it is "partial 16S ribosomal RNA". It matches the Rfam family "Bacterial small subunit ribosomal RNA", at positions 88 to 354 of the family's 1533-position model. The record is from RNAcentral.
CCGGCGACCGGCGCACGGUGAGUAACACGUAUGGAACCUGCCCGCAGCAGGGGGAUAAGCGGAAGAAAUUCCGUCUAAUACCGCGUAACAACGUUGGGAGGCAUCUCCCGAUGUUUAAAGAUUUAUCGGCUGCGGAUGGCCAUGCGGCGCAUUAGCUAGUCGGCGGGGUAACGGCCCACCGAGGCGACGAUGCGUAGGGGUUCUGAGAGGAAGGUCCCCCACACUGGUACUGAGACACGGACCAGACUCCUACGGAAGGCAGCAG